RNAcentral lists this ribosomal RNA (557 nucleotides) under uncultured bacterium. RNAcentral's name for it is "partial 16S ribosomal RNA". It matches the Rfam family "Bacterial small subunit ribosomal RNA", at positions 355 to 902 of the family's 1533-position model. The record is from RNAcentral.
UGGGGAAUUUUGGACAAUGGGCGAAAGCCUGAUCCAGCAAUGCCGCGUGUGUGAAGAAGGCCUUCGGGUUGUAAAGCACUUUUGUCCGGAAAGAAAUCCUUGGUUCUAAUAUAGCCGGGGGGAUGACGGUACCGGAAGAAUAAGCACCGGCUAACUACGUGCCAGCAGCCGCGGUAAUACGUAGGGUGCGAGCGUUAAUCGGAAUUACUGGGCGUAAAGCGUGCGCAGGCGGUUUGCUAAGACCGAUGUGAAAUCCCCGGGCUCAACCUGGGAACUGCAUUGGUGACUGGCAGGCUAGAGUAUGGCAGAGGGGGGUAGAAUUCCACGUGUAGCAGUGAAAUGCGUAGAGAUGUGGAGGAAUACCGAUGGCGAAGGCAGCCCCCUGGGCCAAUACUGACGCUCAUGCACGAAAGCGUGGGGAGCAAACAGGAUUAGAUACCCUGGUAGUCCACGCCCUAAAACGAUGUCAACUAGUUGUUGGGGGAUUCAUUUCCUUAGUAACGUAGCUAACGCGUGAAGUUGACCGCCUGGGGAGUACGGUCGCAAGAUUAAAACUC